This 63-nucleotide transfer RNA is filed under the name Sitophilus zeamais (maize weevil). Its description in RNAcentral is "tRNA-Cys". Lineage: Eukaryota; Metazoa; Arthropoda; Insecta; Coleoptera; Curculionidae. The record is from RNAcentral.
AAUUAUAUAGUCUAUUAGGAUUUUAAAUUGCAAAUUUAAAGGUAUAUAUUUAUAUUAUAAUUU